CCUGCAAGCACUCUCAGCCCUUCUUUGUUUAUAGAACAUUUGUUUCUUCAUAUGCAAAACUAUCCAGAUUUCAUUACAAAAUAAUCUGCUAGUCAUCAUGAAGGAAGUAUAUCUUUCAGAAAGGGUCAUGAGUUCAGUGGGAUCAGCAAAGCUUUGGGUGUAACUGAGGAUGAGAUUUUUACAUG
Molecule: long non-coding RNA, 185 nt
Organism: Sceloporus undulatus (fence lizard)
Lineage: Eukaryota; Metazoa; Chordata; Lepidosauria; Squamata; Phrynosomatidae
Exons: 3
Source: RefSeq, a predicted model, not a curated record